UGGGGGUGUACAUAACAGCGAUUCGUCCUCGAGCAAAUAUUCAUCCAUAAAUAGUCAAAAGACUAAUGUUGUUGGUUAUGAAAAGAACUUCCAAGGGACUGUCAUGACUUUGGCUAAAAUUGACGAUCAUAAAGAAACAUUGUUGGAUUGUGACCCAAACCAGCAAGAGCUUUUGCAGCCACGUCACGCAGAGUGGGCACGGAUACUAGAGGCCGCAACACAGAGAAGAACUGAAGUUCUUACACCUGAAAAUCUUGAAAACAUGUGGACAAAAGGAAGAAAUUAUAAAAAGAAAG
This 296-nucleotide unclassified non-coding RNA is filed under the name Hevea brasiliensis (rubber tree). Lineage: Eukaryota; Viridiplantae; Streptophyta; Magnoliopsida; Malpighiales; Euphorbiaceae. The record is from RNAcentral.